UAGGGAAUAUUAGAAAUGGACGAAAGUCUGAUCUAGCAACACCGCGUGUGCGAAGAAGGCCUUCGGGUCGUAAAGCACUUUUUGGAAGGAAUAGGAAGGAAUGUACUUCCAGAAUAAGUCUCGGCUAACUACGUGCCAGCAGCCGCGGUAACACGUAGGAGGCGAACGUUAUCCGGAUUUACUGGGCGUAAAGCGCGUGUAGGUGGUUCUGUAAGUAGGGCGUGAAAGCUCCUGGCUCAACUGGGAGAGGCCGUUCUAAACUACAGAACUAGAGGAUGGUAGAGGGAGGUGGAAUUCCAGGUGUAGCGGUGGAAUGCGCAGAUAUCUGGAGGAACACCAGUGGCGAAGGCGGCCUCCUGGACCAUUCCUGACACUCAGACGCGGAAGCUAGGGUAGCAAACG
This 402-nucleotide ribosomal RNA is filed under the name uncultured prokaryote. Its description in RNAcentral is "bacterial SSU rRNA". It matches the Rfam family "Bacterial small subunit ribosomal RNA", at positions 355 to 774 of the family's 1533-position model. The record is from RNAcentral.